Molecule: small RNA, 28 nt
Filed under: Bombyx mori (domestic silkworm)
Lineage: Eukaryota; Metazoa; Arthropoda; Insecta; Lepidoptera; Bombycidae
Description: ovarian small RNA-15072
Source: RNAcentral
GAAAGUCCACGGUAUGUUUUUAAAAAGU